Molecule: ribosomal RNA, 361 nt
Filed under: uncultured bacterium
Lineage: Bacteria
Description: bacterial SSU rRNA
Rfam family: Bacterial small subunit ribosomal RNA
Source: RNAcentral
GAUGAACGCUAGCGGCAGGCCUAACACAUGCAAGUCGAGGGGCAGCACGUCUUCGGAUGGUGGCGACCGGCGCACGGGUGCGUAACGCGUAUGCAACCUACCUCUUACAGUGGGAUAGCCCAGAGAAAUUUGGAUUAAUACCGCAUAGUAUACAGAUUCAGCAUUGGGACUGUAUUAAACAUUUAUGGGUAAGAGAUGGGCAUGCGUUCUAUUAGUUAGUUGGAGUGGUAACGGCACCCCAAGACAGCGAUAGAUAGGGGCCCUGAGAGGGGGAUCCCCCACACUGGUACUGAGACACGGACCAGACUCCUACGGGAGGCAGCAGUGAGGAAUAUUGGACAAUGGGCGAGAGCCUGAUCCA